CCCCCCUGCUCCCAGCAGCCCCGCCGCCGCCGCCGCAUCAUCAAUAUUUCACGGGCGUCAAUAAGAGGCGGUGGCGGGGAGGCGGCUGCAGCAGUGCUGGCACCAGCUCCGGCCACCGCUCCCCGCGACACUCAGCCUCCUGCCCUGCCCACACCAUGGACGUCUUCAAGAAAGGCUUCUCCAUAGCCAAGGAGGGCGUGGUGGGCGCUGUGGAGAAGACCAAGCAGGGGGUGACGGAGGCGGCUGAGAAGACCAAGGAGGGGGUCCUGUAUGUGGGAGCCAAGACCAAGGAGAAUGUGGUGCAGAGCGUAACCUCAGUGGCCGAGAAGACCAAGGAGCAGGCCAACGCUGUGAGUGAGGCCGUGGUCACCAGCAUCAACACGGUGGCAGUCAAGACAGUGGAGGAAGCGGAGAACAUCGCCAUCACCUCCGGCGUGGUGCGAAAGGCAGGGGGGCGCCCCAGGAAACUUCCUCCUGGAUGGCCCUGAGCACCCAGCAGGCUGGUGACUAUCGGACCAUCAUCUGUGCCUCUGGGCACCACCCGAAGGUACUCCGGGACCCAGGCCUGUCCGACCCCCAACCCCCAGCUAGGGAGGCCCUGGGGUGUGGCGAGGGCCUGGAACGAGGGCUGGUGAGUACUGGGGGGCGCCCCGAGGGAGACAUUCCCUGGUGACACCUAAAAACCAGUCGGAUGCCCACCCAGUGAGCCUCGGGGGUGCAGCACCACCUGACAGCUCUCCAUCGGCCGGCCUCAGGUGCCACAGGGCAGCGGGACAAGGCAGGUGGCCGCCACCCUUUGCCCAAAGGCCUGCCCCACGGCUGGCACAGUCUGGUGUCCUUUAAAGCCCCUCGGGGGCUAAGACUGGGAUCCAGGCUGAUUACCCCGGCUGGCGCUACGUGCAGCUGUGCCCCACCGCCCCCCGGGGCAGCCCACCUUAGGAGGACCUAGAACAACCUGCGGCCCCCCAGGAGGACAAGGCAGCCAGAGUGCAAGAGGAAGUGGCUGAGGAGGC
Canis lupus familiaris (dog) is the source of this 1013-nucleotide RNA transcript. It is a transcript of the gene named synuclein gamma, with no coding region annotated. The record is from RefSeq and is a predicted model, not a curated record. The transcript has 5 exons. NCBI's taxonomy places the organism in Eukaryota, Metazoa, Chordata, Mammalia, Carnivora, Canidae.